RNAcentral lists this ribosomal RNA (251 nucleotides) under uncultured bacterium. Its description in RNAcentral is "partial 16S ribosomal RNA". It matches the Rfam family "Bacterial small subunit ribosomal RNA", at positions 524 to 775 of the family's 1533-position model. The record is from RNAcentral.
UACGUAGGUGGGCAACGUUGUCCGGAAUUAUUGGGCGUAAAGCGCGCGCAGGCGGUCCUUUAAGUCUGAUGUGAAAGCCCACGGCUCAACCGUGGAGGGUCAUUGGAAACUGGGGGACUUGAGUGCAGAAGAGGAGAGUGGAAUUCCUGGUGUAGCGGUGAAAUGCGCAGAUAUCAGGAAGAACACCAAUGGCGAAGGCAGCUCUCUGGGACGGUACUGACGCUGAGACGCGAAGCGUGGGGAGCGAACAG